Molecule: ribosomal RNA, 473 nt
Filed under: uncultured bacterium
Lineage: Bacteria
Description: bacterial SSU rRNA
Rfam family: Bacterial small subunit ribosomal RNA
Source: RNAcentral
ACUCCUACGGGAGGCAGCAGUAGGGAAUCUUCCACAAUGGGCGCAAGCCUGAUGGAGCAACACCGCGUGAGUGAAGAAGGGUUUCGGCUCGUAAAGCUCUGUUGUUAAAGAAGAACACGUAUGAGAGUAACUGUUCAUACGUUGACGGUAUUUAACCAGAAAGUCACGGCUAACUACGUGCCAGCAGCCGCGGUAAUACGUAGGUGGCAAGCGUUGUCCGGAUUUAUUGGGCGUAAAGAGAAUGUAGGCGGUUUAUUAAGUUUGAAGUGAAAGCCCUCGGCUCAACCGAGGAAGUGCUUCGAAAACUGGUAAACUUGAGUGCAGAAGAGGAAAGUGGAACUCCAUGUGUAGCGGUGGAAUGCGUAGAUAUAUGGAAGAACACCAGUGGCGAAGGCGGCUUUCUGGUCUGUAACUGACGCUGAGAUUCGAAAGCAUGGGUAGCAAACAGGAUUAGAUACCCUGGUAGGAUAGCG